UCUUUAUAGCAGUGUAAGAACAGACUAAUACACCGAUUAUUAAGAACUUGUAUUAGCAUAGUACAUUUGUCAUAACUAGUGAACCAAUAUUGAUGCAUUCUCAUUAACUGAAGUCUGUGCUUUAUGCACAUGUCCUCAGUUAUUUUCUAAUGCCCUUUUUCUGUUCCAGGAUCCCACACUGCAUUUAGUCAUCAUGUCUCCUUAGGCUUCUCGUGGCUGUGAGUUCCUUUGUUUUUGACAGCCUUGACAGUGCUGAGGAGUACAGCUAAGGUGUUUGGUAGAAUAGUCUUCAAUUGUGAAUCGUCCAAUCUUUUUCUCAUGAUGACACUGAGGUUAUGGAUUUUGGGGAAGGAGACCAUUGAAGUAAAGUGCCAUUUUUAUCACACCCUAUCAAAGGUAGUCCAUUUUCUUAGUCCAUUUUGUGCCACUGUAACAAAAUACUACAGCCUGGGUAAUAUGUAAUGUACAGAAAUUUAUUUCUCACCUUUCUGAAGGCUGGGAAGUCCAAGAUUGAGGGGCCGACAAGAACCUUCUUGCUGUGUCAUCCUGUGGCAGAAGGGCAAAGAGAAGAUGAGAGAAAGUGCAAGAAAAAUCAAACUCAUCCUUUUAUACGUUGACAUAUAAGGAAAGAGUGGCAGAGAAAGGUCAGGUGGUUGUUACAAGAUCCCAAGGACACCUAAUGGAGCUGCCAGAGAGGACCUCAGAGCUACCUGACAG
RNAcentral lists this long non-coding RNA (717 nucleotides) under Callithrix jacchus (white-tufted-ear marmoset). Its description in RNAcentral is "lncRNA (ENSCJAG00000082397.1)". Lineage: Eukaryota; Metazoa; Chordata; Mammalia; Primates; Cebidae. The record is from RNAcentral.